CUUUCCCUCUUCCCUCCUGCCUUACACAUGCAAGUCGAACGGUAACAGGUUAAGCUGACGAGUGGCGAACGGGUGAGUAAUGUAUCGGAACGUGCCCAGUCGUGGGGGAUAACUGCUCGAAAGAGCAGCUAAUACCGCAUACGACCUGAGGGUGAAAGCGGGGGAUCGCAAGACCUCGCGCGAUUGGAGCGGCCGCUAUCAGAUUAGGUAGUUGGUGAGGUAAAGGCUCACCAAGCCGACGAUCUGUAGCUGGUCUGAGAGGACGACCAGCCACACUGGGACUGAGACACGGCCCAGACUCCUACGGGAGGCAGCAGUGGGGAAUUUUGGACAAUGGGCGCAAGCCUGAUCCAGCCAUGCCGCGUGCGGGAAGAAGGCCUUCGGGUUGUAAACCGCUUUUGUCAGGGAAGAAAAGGUUCUGGCUAAUACCUGGGACUCAUGACGGUACCUGAAGAAUAAGCACCGGCUAACUACGUG
RNAcentral lists this ribosomal RNA (477 nucleotides) under uncultured bacterium. RNAcentral describes it as "partial 16S ribosomal RNA". It matches the Rfam family "Bacterial small subunit ribosomal RNA", at positions 36 to 507 of the family's 1533-position model. The record is from RNAcentral.